This 836-nucleotide long non-coding RNA is filed under the name Homo sapiens (human). RNAcentral describes it as "non-protein coding lnc-ZNF703-3:2". Lineage: Eukaryota; Metazoa; Chordata; Mammalia; Primates; Hominidae. The record is from RNAcentral.
GCCAUUUUGAAACGAACAGACUCCAAAAGCACGCUCCACUGGGCCUGCCCCUGCGAUCUUAAAACAGAUGUCCGUGAAAUGUGACCCAUGAAUAGCAGUUAUCUGGAGAGAGAGCUCUGAAGCUGAUGAAACCAUUAGAGCCACUGAAGGCACCUGGUAAAUGCGAUGCGGGGAGUACAGAAGAGAGAAUCAGAAACACACCGGCACUCUCAUUCCCAUGAGGCCACUUACAGUGGGUAAAACGUCGCUUGAGAAGAGCGGCCUAAAAACAAGAACGUCUGCCCUCUUCCUUCUUAACCAAGACUGAGAUGAGGACAAGUCAGACCCUUCAGACCCAUCGUUUCAGGGACCAGCAGCUCCAGCCUGAAUGAGAAGCACGUCCUCCUGGGAGUUACGUCAGCAGCCUGACCUUCCAUCUUCCUCCUCUAAAGAAGCGUCCCUGCCACCCUGAGCACGAAGCCCUCGGGUUCCUAAAGGCCGAGGCGCUUCUUCUCAUUUACUUCCCUUGAGGAAGAAAGACCAGCCCAUCCACCCUCAUUUCCCACCGAAGGGCAUCGCAAAUAAAGUUUGCCCACGCAACCAGGCCACCACCAUUAAUUUCUCUCUGCCCUGCUCUUACAUUCUCCUCAAGGUUUUCAGUCCCCUAGAGAGGCUCCCUUCCCUCUUUUCUUUCCUUCCUCCAGCCCCCCUUUUCACCUCCCUCCACCAUUGUUUGAGGUUAAGAAGCAUGCUACGGUGUUCUAUAAAUCACUUGGCAAGAGUAGACGACAAAAGCAAAAUAUAAUUCAGAUUAAAGUCAUCCUCCCGCUGAAAUGAUAGUUUCUUAAAUAAAUGGC